RNAcentral lists this long non-coding RNA (203 nucleotides) under Elaeis guineensis (African oil palm). Its description in RNAcentral is "long non-coding RNA (EGUI_LNC058254)". The record is from RNAcentral. Lineage: Eukaryota; Viridiplantae; Streptophyta; Magnoliopsida; Arecales; Arecaceae.
CAGAGACGCCAACAAUGAUUAAGUUCAAAAGACUUGAUUAUUGAAAAAGGGCACAAGAAGUUUUAAAUUCUGAACUCCAAAAAAAUAUCUAUAAAAAAAUAACUUAGCCUGAUGAAUCAAAGAAGCUCCUUAAAGAUGUAUAGUUGUUUUUAGACAAUUGGACCUAUCCCAAGCUCUUUCUACCCCUAAUUAAUAUACUAACC